This 26-nucleotide non-coding RNA is filed under the name Mus musculus (house mouse). RNAcentral also lists the same sequence under 1 other name. Lineage: Eukaryota; Metazoa; Chordata; Mammalia; Rodentia; Muridae. The record is from RNAcentral.
CUUUCAACAACGGAUCUCUUGGCUCU